Transfer RNA from Ovis aries (sheep), 73 nucleotides. It matches the Rfam family "tRNA". Rfam says of the family: Transfer RNA (tRNA) molecules are approximately 80 nucleotides in length. Their secondary structure includes four short double-helical elements and three loops (D, anti-codon, and T loops). NCBI's taxonomy places the organism in Eukaryota, Metazoa, Chordata, Mammalia, Artiodactyla, Bovidae. The record is from Rfam.
UCCCUGGUGGUCCAGUGGUUGAGACUCUGUGCUCUCAACGCAGGGUGCACAGGUUCAAUCCCUGGUCAGGGAA